Molecule: ribosomal RNA, 272 nt
Filed under: uncultured bacterium
Lineage: Bacteria
Description: partial 16S ribosomal RNA
Rfam family: Bacterial small subunit ribosomal RNA
Source: RNAcentral
AUACGUAGGGUGCGAGCGUUAAUCGGAAUUACUGGGCGUAAAGCGUGCGCAGGCGGUUAUGUAAGACAGAUGUGAAAUCCCCGGGCUCAACCUGGGAACUGCAUUUGUGACUGCAUAGCUAGAGUACGGCAGAGGGGGAUGGAAUUCCGCGUGUAGCAGUGAAAUGCGUAGAUAUGCGGAGGAACACCGAUGGCGAAGGCAAUCCCCUGGGCCUGUACUGACGCUCAUGCACGAAAGCGGGGAGCAAACAGGAUUAGAUACCCCAGUAGUCC